This 253-nucleotide ribosomal RNA is filed under the name uncultured bacterium. RNAcentral describes it as "partial 16S ribosomal RNA". It matches the Rfam family "Bacterial small subunit ribosomal RNA", at positions 524 to 776 of the family's 1533-position model. The record is from RNAcentral.
UACGUAGGGAGCAAGCGUUGUCCGGAAUCAUUGGGCGUAAAGCGCGCGUAGGCGGCCCGGUAAGUGGGAUGUGAAAUGCCCCGGCUCACCCGGGGACCGGCAUCCCAUACUGCUUGGCUUGAGUACGGGAGAGGAUGUGGGAAUUCCUGGUGUAGCGGUGAAAUGCGUAGAUAUCUGGAGGAACACCGGUGGCGAAGGCGGCGUCCUGGACCAACACUGACACUGAGGAGCGAAAGCCAGGGGAGCAAACGGG